GGUAUUAUUUUUAAAACUGGGAGCAGCUGAUUAGCAUCUCCAAACCUCAAAUACCUGAACUGAGAGCAGCGAGAGAGAGAAGGAGGAAGUUCAUACCAUCUCUUACAUUCAUGAAACGUCAACGAUUCAAGCUGAUCUCACCAAGUAGCCCACGAAUGUGAGGUACGCCAAGGAGAGGAAGGCAGCGAGCACGUAGAGCCACACGCUGUUCAGCGCCGUCACGUACACCACCACGAAGUACAUGUUGAUGGCGCACACGCACAGGAUCACCAGUCCUCCCAUGAUCUUACACGUCCUGCAGAGAGACGAACAUGCUGAGCAGGAAGUGGAGCAGGAAGUGAUUCAACGGCGACGGUACCGGUCCGCUUACAGUCCGUUGGCAAAGUCGUUCAUCAGAGACGGCAGACUGGUGAAGUGUGUUUCAGUGCCUGAAGACGCUGUGAUACGUACCGUACUUAUCCAGGAAGAGGAAGAAGAAAGUGUCGAUAAUGGUGAUGAGCACACCGGUCCAGAGGGGGAUCCUGUCAUCAAAACACACACAGCAACUGAAGAAGCUCAAUUUUUAUGUUUUAGCACCAAACGACCUGUGAUUCUGGAUACCAAACGGCCUCAAAAAGGCAUCAACUUCUCGCCAGAGACCCCCUUUGGAAGCCCACAGACAAUGCUACAAAAUAUGUAAAGAAACAUUAAAUUAAAAAAAUUUUCCCCUCAUUUUAUUACAUUCAUUUAGCAUAAAUGCUGCCCCAUUUCUUCAGAUUUUAGUUGGGAGUUCUGUGGUGGAAAAUCCUCUCCUUUCAUGAGAAAAUAAGUAAUUUUUUUAUAUUAAUCCCGUCAAAUGUUAUUUAAUCUGCAUUGCUUGCUAUGACAGUUUGAGGAGCAAAGCAACUUGAUAAAUUUGACUGGCAGCAAAUCAAAAAAUGAGAAUAUAAAUAACUUUUUUCUAAAUUUUUCCUCUGUGGGACAAUAUACACUAUUUGUAUUCCAUUUCCAUUUUCAGUGUUAUUUUAACUUAGACUUUAUAAUAAAUGCUGAAAAAAGAGAUUCCCCAAAAUUUGAUGUCUAAAUAUGUAUAGCAAUAGAUGAGACAAUUGGAGUAGGAUUUAAUAAGCUAAAUCUUCUUCAUACUCAUUUCUGGUCUGGAUAAGGAAGUUUUGUUUUUGUUUUUAUGUUUAAUUACUAUCAUGGUACAUGUAUUUUUUUGUUUUCUU
Molecule: long non-coding RNA, 1208 nt
Organism: Gambusia affinis (western mosquitofish)
Lineage: Eukaryota; Metazoa; Chordata; Actinopteri; Cyprinodontiformes; Poeciliidae
Exons: 3
Source: RefSeq, a predicted model, not a curated record